UACGUAGGGGGCAAGCGUUGUCCGGAUUUAUUGGGCGUAAAGAGCGUGUAGGCGGUUCGGUAGGUCCGUUGUGAAAACUCGAGGCUCAACCUCGAGACGCCGAUGGAAACCAUCGAACUAGAGUCCGGAAGAGGAGAGUGGAAUUCCUGGUGUAGCGGUGAAAUGCGCAGAUAUCAGGAAGAACACCCGUGGCUAAGGCGGCUCUCUAGUACGGUACUGACGCUGAGACGCGAAAGCGUGGGAGCAAACAGG
RNAcentral lists this ribosomal RNA (252 nucleotides) under uncultured bacterium. Its description in RNAcentral is "partial 16S ribosomal RNA". It matches the Rfam family "Bacterial small subunit ribosomal RNA", at positions 524 to 776 of the family's 1533-position model. The record is from RNAcentral.